Molecule: small RNA, 560 nt
Filed under: Fusarium solani
Lineage: Eukaryota; Fungi; Ascomycota; Sordariomycetes; Hypocreales; Nectriaceae
Description: eukaryotic LSU rRNA
Rfam family: 5.8S ribosomal RNA (bases 167-320)
Source: RNAcentral
UACCGGGGGGAAGCAUGUGAGCGAAUACACUCAUCACCCUGUGUACAUACCUAUAACGUUGCCUCGGCGGGAACAGACGGCCCCGUAACACGGGCCGCCCCCGCCAGAGGACCCCCUAACUCUGUUUCUAUAAUGUUUCUUCUGAGUAAACAAGCAAAUAAAUUAAAACUUUCAACAACGGAUCUCUUGGCUCUGGCAUCGAUGAAGAACGCAGCGAAAUGCGAUAAGUAAUGUGAAUUGCAGAAUUCAGUGAAUCAUCGAAUCUUUGAACGCACAUUGCGCCCGCCAGUAUUCUGGCGGGCAUGCCUGUUCGAGCGUCAUUACAACCCUCAGGCCCCCGGGCCUGGCGUUGGGGAUCGGCGGAAGCCCCCUGCGGGCACAACGCCGUCCCCCAAAUACAGUGGCGGUCCCGCCGCAGCUUCCAUUGCGUAGUAGCUAACACCUCGCAACUGGAGAGCGGCGCGGCCACGCCGUAAAACACCCAACUUCUGAAUGUUGACCUCGAAUCAGGUAGGAAUACCCGCUGAACUUAAGCAUAUCAAAAGCCGGGAGGAAAAAUU